RNAcentral lists this transfer RNA (69 nucleotides) under Tariqilabeo bicornis (bihorned barbel). RNAcentral describes it as "Akrokolioplax bicornis (bihorned barbel) tRNA-Met". Lineage: Eukaryota; Metazoa; Chordata; Actinopteri; Cypriniformes; Cyprinidae. The record is from RNAcentral.
GGUGAAGUCAGCUAAACAAGCUCCCGGGUCCAUACCCCGAACAUGACGGUCAUAAUCCCUCCUUCACCA